GAAAUCCUUUCCCAAUCACGUAAACUACUGUCUACCAACUGUGCCAACAAGAUGAGAACAUGCUAGAUAUCUGCAUCUCCAUUUACAUAUGAUAUAAUAGACAACAAUUCACUUACCACAUUAGCUAUCUUCAGCUGCAGUAAGCAACUAGGCAUUCCGUUGCUAUGAGGUGAAAAAAUCAUUGCUCGACUUGAAUGCCAGAUUUGCAUAGAAGUUGAGUUUUCGGCAUUUUCCAGCCGAUGCAAUUUGUUUCAUGGUUACCAUUGUAGUACUGAAUGCCUUGCAGAAGCUUCCAUUG
RNAcentral lists this unclassified non-coding RNA (298 nucleotides) under Hevea brasiliensis (rubber tree). Lineage: Eukaryota; Viridiplantae; Streptophyta; Magnoliopsida; Malpighiales; Euphorbiaceae. The record is from RNAcentral.